CCUCUGACAACCCUAGAGAUAGGGCUUUCCCUUCGGGGACAGAGUGACAGGUGGUGCAUGGUUGUCGUCAGCUCGUGUCGUGAGAUGUUGGGUUAAGUCCCGCAACGAGCGCAACCCUUGAUCUUAGUUGCCAGCAUUCAGUUGGGCACUCUAAGGUGACUGCCGGUGACAAACCGGAGGAAGGUGGGGAUGACGUCAAAUCAUCAUGCCCCUUAUGACCUGGGCUACACACGUGCUACAAUGGACAGAACAAAGGGYUGCGAGACCGCAAGGUUUAGCCAAUCCCACAAAUCUGUUCUCAGUUCGGAUCGCAGUCUGCAACUCGACUGCGUGAAGCUGGAAUCGCUAGUAAUCGCGGAUCAGCAUGCCGCGGUGAAUACGUUCCCGGGCCUUGUACACACCGCCCGUCACACCACGAGAGUUUGCAACACCCGAAGUCGGUGAGGUAACCUUUAUGGAGCCAGCCGCCGAAGGUGGGGCAGAUGAUUGGGGUGAAGUCGUAACAAGGUAGCCGUAUCGGAAGGUGCGGCUGGAUCACCUCCUUUCUA
Molecule: ribosomal RNA, 548 nt
Filed under: Bacillus altitudinis
Lineage: Bacteria; Bacillati; Bacillota; Bacilli; Caryophanales; Bacillaceae
Description: bacterial SSU rRNA
Rfam family: Bacterial small subunit ribosomal RNA
Source: RNAcentral